AGCUCCAAUAGCGUAUAUUAAAAUUGUUGCAGUUAAAAAGCUCGUAGUUGGAUUUCUGGUGGGAGCGAUCGGUCCGGCUCAUUGAGUUGGUACUUGUAUUGUCUCCUACCAUCUUUCAGGAAAACCUGUCUGGCAUUAAGUUGUCGGACAGCGGGAUCUUGAUCCUUUACUGUGAAAAAAUUAGAGUGUUCAAAGCAGGCUUACGCCGUUGAAUAUAUUAGCAUGGAAUAAUAAGAUAGGACUAUGGCUCUAUUUUGUUGGUUUGUGCGCCAUGGUAAUGAUUAAAAGGGACAGUUGGGGGUAUUCGUAUUCCAUUGUCAGAGGUGAAAUUCUUGGAUUUAUGGAAG
This 347-nucleotide ribosomal RNA is filed under the name uncultured eukaryote. RNAcentral describes it as "SSU rRNA". It matches the Rfam family "Eukaryotic small subunit ribosomal RNA", at positions 587 to 934 of the family's 1831-position model. The record is from RNAcentral.